Molecule: ribosomal RNA, 260 nt
Filed under: uncultured bacterium
Lineage: Bacteria
Description: partial 16S ribosomal RNA
Rfam family: Bacterial small subunit ribosomal RNA
Source: RNAcentral
CAAAGAGAGGCAAGACCGCGAGGUGGAGCAAAUCUCAAAAAGCCGUCCCAGUUCGGAUCGCAGGCUGCAACCCGCCUGCGUGAAGUUGGAAUCGCUAGUAAUCGCGGAUCAGCAUGCCGCGGUGAAUACGUUCCCGGGCCUUGUACACACCGCCCGUCACACCAUGAGAGUCGGGAACACCCGAAGUCCGUAGCCUAACCGCAAGGGGGGCGCGGCCGAAGGUGGGUUCGAUAAUUGGGGUGAAGUCGUAACAAGGUACC